ACAAGCAGCGGAGCAUUGUGGUUUAAUUCGAAGCAACGCGAAGAACCUUUACCAGGGCUUGACAUGCCGCUGACCGGUUUAGAGAUAGAUCUUUACCCUUCGGGGUACAGCGGACACAGGUGGUGCAUGGUUGUCGUCAGCUCGUGUCGUGAGAUGCUGGGUUAAGUCCCGCAACGAGCGCAACCCCUAUUGUUAGUUGCCAUCAUUCAGUUGGGCACUCUAGCGAGACUGCCGGUAAUAAACCGGAGGAAGGUGGGGAUGACGUCAAAUCAUCAUGCCCCUUAUGACCUGGGCUACACACGUGCUACAAUGGUUGGUACAACGAGUUGCGAGUCGGUGACGGCGAGCUAAUCUCUUAAAGCCAAUCUCAGUUCGGAUUGUAGGCUGCAACUCGCCUACAUGAAGUCGGAAUCGCUAGUAAUCGCGGAUCAGCACGCCGCGGUGAAUACGUUCCCGGGCCUU
Molecule: ribosomal RNA, 462 nt
Filed under: uncultured Streptococcus sp.
Lineage: Bacteria; Bacillati; Bacillota; Bacilli; Lactobacillales; Streptococcaceae
Description: bacterial SSU rRNA
Rfam family: Bacterial small subunit ribosomal RNA
Source: RNAcentral